Molecule: long non-coding RNA, 692 nt
Filed under: Coturnix japonica (Japanese quail)
Lineage: Eukaryota; Metazoa; Chordata; Aves; Galliformes; Phasianidae
Description: lncRNA (ENSCJPG00005003322.1)
Source: RNAcentral
GCUGGAUGCGUUUAUAUUUUUCAUACUUUUCAAAAAAUAGUCAUCUUGUUGACCUGCUAGGACUGGGAAUAGCUAAGCAAACAAAUGAAAGAGAGAGCUUUACUCUGACUGCUAGACUAAGUAAACAUGACAAGGAAAUCACUGGGGGAGGCUCAUACAUAUGCACUGUCAAGGUGCCAUCUUGACAAAGUGUCUUUUUCCACUAUAGUUGCACGUUUUAUACUGUCAGCAGGAUUUAGAAGUGAAAUACACGUAUUUCAUUGUCAGAAUUAAAAUGAAAGCUUUAAAAUCCUCCUCUGUAACAUUUUUUCAACAAGGUAUUAAGUAAAAAUGCUGUUAACGCAAAAAGAGAAAAUGUGAAGCAAAAGGUCAAUGUGACAGGCUUAAAGAAGUGCUGCUGAUGACUCAUUAAAGCUAACUACAGUGAAGAUUUUAAACAUUGCCUUUCCUUCCAGCGAUAACAUGCAGUCUCUCCAACAAGAAAUCAAAGCACUGAAGUCUUGGCAGGAGAUAAGUAGGGCCUUAAGUGAUGCACAAACCAUCUGUCUUGUUUCUACCACCAUACAAUUAUACCAACAAGAAGAAAAGCAGAUUUGGGUUAUGACUGCUUUACUCCACACUGCAGUGAUUUUAGGUCCACAGCUGCAAGGAACUAUUACAUAAUAAUAAUAAAAAAAGGAAAUCAGGAAGCA